This 246-nucleotide ribosomal RNA is filed under the name Agaricales sp. RNAcentral describes it as "partial large subunit ribosomal RNA". The record is from RNAcentral. Lineage: Eukaryota; Fungi; Basidiomycota; Agaricomycetes; Agaricales.
AAACGCUUGAAGUCAGUCGCGUUCUACAAGACUCAGCCUUGCUUCUGCUUGGUGCACUUCUUGUUUGAACGGGUCAACAUCAGUUUUGUUUGGUGGAUAAAGAUUAGAGAAAUGUGGCAUUGUUUACAAUGUGUUAUAGUCUCUAGUUGCAUACAUCAGACGGGACUGAGGAACUCAGCAUGCCUUUUAGGCCGGGGACUUGUCCCACGUUCAUGCUUAGGAUGUUGGCAUAAUGGCUUUAAACGA